GAUGAACGCUGGCGGCGCGCCUAACACAUGCAAGUCGAACGGCACCUGCCUUCGGGCAGAAGCGAGUGGCGAACGGCUGAGUAACACGUGGAGAACCUGCCCCCUCCCCCGGGAUAGCCGCCCGAAAGGACGGGUAAUACCGGAUACCCCCGGGCGCCGCAUGGCGCCCGGGCUAAAGCCCCGACGGGAGGGGAUGGCUCCGCGGCCCAUCAGGUAGACGGCGGGGUGACGGCCCACCGUGCCGACAACGGGUAGCCGGGUUGAGAGACCGACCGGCCAGAUUGGGACUGAGACACGGCCCAGACUCCUACGGGAGGCAGCAGUGGGGAAUCUUGCGCAAUGGGGGGAACCCUGACGCAGCGACGCCGCGUGCGGGACGGAGGCCUUCGGGUCGUAAACCGCUUUCAGCAGGGAAGAGUCAAGACUGUACCUGCAGAAGAAGCCCCGGCUAACUACGUGCCAGCAGCCGCGGUAAUACGUAGGGGGCGAGCGUUAUCCGGAUUCAUUGGGCGUAAAGCGCGCGUAGGCGGCCCGGCAGGCCGGGGGUCGGAAGCGGGGGGCUCAACCCCCCGAAGCCCCCGGAACCUCCGCGGCUUGGGUCCGGUAGGGGAGGGUGGAACACCCGGUGUAGCGGUGGAAUGCGCAGAUAUCGGGUGGAACACCGGUGGCGAAGGCGGCCCUCUGGGCCGAGACCGACGCUGAGGCGCGAAAGCUGGGGGAGCGAACAGGAUUAGAUACCCUGGUAGUCCCAGCCGUAAACGAUGGACGCUAGGUGUGGGGGGACGAUCCCCCCGUGCCGCAGCCAACGCAUUAAGCGUCCCGCCUGGGGAGUACGGCCGCAAGGCUAAAACUCAAAGGAAUUGACGGGGGCCCGCACAAGCAGCGGAGCAUGUGGCUUAAUUCGAAGCAACGCGAAGAACCUUACCAGGGCUUGACAUAUGGGUGAAGCGGGGGAGACCCCGUGGCCGAGAGGAGCCCAUACAGGUGGUGCAUGGCUGUCGUCAGCUCGUGUCGUGAGAUGUUGGGUUAAGUCCCGCAACGAGCGCAACCCCCGCCGCGUGUUGCCAUCGGGUGAUGCCGGGAACCCACGCGGGACCGCCGCCGUCAAGGCGGAGGAGGGCGGGGACGACGUCAAGUCAUCAUGCCCCUUAUGCCCUGGGCUGCACACGUGCUACAAUGGCCGGUACAGAGGGAUGCCACCCCGCGAGGGGGAGCGGAUCCCGGAAAGCCGGCCCCAGUUCGGAUUGGGGGCUGCAACCCGCCCCCAUGAAGUCGGAGUUGCUAGUAAUCGCGGAUCAGCAUGCCGCGGUGAAUGCGUUCCCGGGCCU
This 1328-nucleotide ribosomal RNA is filed under the name uncultured bacterium. RNAcentral describes it as "bacterial SSU rRNA". It matches the Rfam family "Bacterial small subunit ribosomal RNA", at positions 28 to 1381 of the family's 1533-position model. The record is from RNAcentral.